GACGAACCGUGCGAACGUUGUUCGGAAUCACUGGGCUUAAAGGGCGCGUAGGCGGGUUAUCAAGUCAGGGGUGAAAUCUUUCGGCUCAACCGGAAAACAGCCUCUGAUACUGGUAGUCUUGAGGGAGGUAGGGGCAGGUGGAACUUCCGGUGGAGCGGUGAAAUGUGUUGAUAUCGGAAGGAACGCCGGUGGCGAAAGCGACCUGCUGGAUCUCUUCUGACGCUGAGGCGCGAAAGCUAGGGGAGCGAACGGG
Molecule: ribosomal RNA, 253 nt
Filed under: uncultured bacterium
Lineage: Bacteria
Description: partial 16S ribosomal RNA
Rfam family: Bacterial small subunit ribosomal RNA
Source: RNAcentral